UGGGGAAUCUUGGACAAUGGGCGCAAGCCUGAUCCAGCCAUGCCGCGUGAGUGAUGAAGGCCUUAGGGUUGUAAAGCUCUUUUUGCCGGGGACGAUAAUGACGGUACCCGGAGAAUAAGUCCCGGCUAACUUCGUGCCAGCAGCCGCGGUAAUACGAAGGGGACUAGCGUUGUUCGGAAUCACUGGGCGUAAAGCGCACGUAGGCGGAUUUGUAAGUCAGGGGUGAAAUCCCGGGGCUCAACCUCGGAACUGCCUUUGAUACUGCGGAUCUCGAGUCCGAUAGAGGUGAGUGGAAUUCCUAGUGUAGAGGUGAAAUUCGUAGAUAUUAGGAAGAACACCGGUGGCGAAGGCGGCUCACUGGAUCGGUACUGACGCUGAGACGCGAAAGCGUGGGGAGCAAACAGGAUUAGAUACCCCUGUAGUCCCUGAGCGGGCUGGCAAGGCGCAU
Molecule: ribosomal RNA, 448 nt
Filed under: uncultured bacterium
Lineage: Bacteria
Description: bacterial SSU rRNA
Rfam family: Bacterial small subunit ribosomal RNA
Source: RNAcentral